This 857-nucleotide ribosomal RNA is filed under the name uncultured bacterium. Its description in RNAcentral is "bacterial SSU rRNA". It matches the Rfam family "Bacterial small subunit ribosomal RNA", at positions 21 to 850 of the family's 1533-position model. The record is from RNAcentral.
GGCUCAGAUUGAACGCUGGCGGCAGGCCUAACACAUGCAAGUCGAGCGGAAACGAGUUAUCUGAACCUUCGGGGAAUGAUAACGGCGUCGAGCGGCGGACGGGUGAGUAAUGCCUAGGAAAUUGCCCUGAUGUGGGGGAUAACCAUUGGAAACGAUGGCUAAUACCGCAUAAUGCCUACGGGCCAAAGAGGGGGACCUUUGGGCCUCUCGCGUCAGGAUAUGCCUAGGUGGGAUUAGCUAGUUGGUGAGGUAAUGGCUCACCAAGGCGACGAUCCCUAGCUGGUCUGAGAGGAUGAUCAGCCACACUGGAACUGAGACACGGUCCAGACUCCUACGGGAGGCAGCAGUGGGGAAUAUUGCACAAUGGGCGCAAGCCUGAUGCAGCCAUGCCGCGUGUGUGAAGAAGGCCUUCGGGUUGUAAAGCACUUUCAGUAGGGAGGAAGGUUCAUGCGUUAAUAGCGUAUGGAUUUGACGUUACCUACAGAAGAAGCACCGGCUAACUCCGUGCCAGCAGCCGCGGUAAUACGGAGGGUGCGAGCGUUAAUCGGAAUUACUGGGCGUAAAGCGCAUGCAGGUGGUUUGUUAAGUCAGAUGUGAAAGCCCGGGGCUCAACCUCGGAAUUGCAUUUGAAACUGGCAGACUAGAGUACUGUAGAGGGGGGUAGAAUUUCAGGUGUAGCGGUGAAAUGCGUAGAGAUCUGAAGGAAUACCGGUGGCGAAGGCGGCCGCCUGGACAGAUACUGACACUCAGAUGCGAAAAGCGUGGGGGAGCAAACAGGAAUUAGAUACCCUGGUAGUCCACGCCGUAAACGAUGUCUACUUGGAAGGUUGUGGGCCUUGANCCNGNGGCUUUUCGGA